Phascolarctos cinereus (koala) is the source of this 730-nucleotide non-coding RNA. The record is from RefSeq and is a predicted model, not a curated record. NCBI's taxonomy places the organism in Eukaryota, Metazoa, Chordata, Mammalia, Diprotodontia, Phascolarctidae.
CCUGGGGCCCUGUUCUCACACCCACAUAAAAAGCCAGGGAGCAGCUUUCAGGUCACAGCAAAGUGGAUAAUCCCUGGUCUAUUGGGGAAGCAGGGUUGAUUGGGGCUGGGAGUGGACAGCCAGCUAACCUGAGACCCUGUCAUCUGGGAAAUUCCAUGCUUUAGGACCAUCGGGAGACUGGAAUCCCGAAGACUCAGCAUCCCUGAGAGCCCCCUCGAGGUGAGGCCACAAUAGGAGUGGGGCACUGUCCAGCAGGCGGGAGGUGACAGACCUGCCCCCUCCCCUGCUCGGAUCACAUUUCAGGAGACUGAAGUCAGUUCUAGGCACUGCAUUUUAGGAAGGACAUUGACAAGCGGGAGAAUGUGUGACAGAGGAGGGCAACCCCCCAGGAAUGAGAGAAUCGAAGGUGAGGGGCCGCGGCUGUUGCCUGGAGGGGGAUCCAGGAGUAGCCAGAAUAGGGGAAGCUACAGGGCCAGGCCUGGGUUUGAUACCAGUAAUAACAUCCCAGAAGUGAUCUGAAGAGGCCCAGGCUGCCUUAGGAGGGGUCCAUGACUUCUGCCGAUGGCUCUAAAACAGAGCGAACGCCCCAUCUCCUGGCCCCUUUUAGCCCCCAACAUCAGACUCUCUCACGACUUCGGAGGGGCAUGCCUUUUAUUGCUCGGAUGGGUUCCCCUCGAUGGCCCUCGGCCUCAGCGCGGGUAGGGCGCGUCUAGAGCUCGCAGUACAGAGC